Molecule: ribosomal RNA, 558 nt
Filed under: Massilia agri
Lineage: Bacteria; Pseudomonadati; Pseudomonadota; Betaproteobacteria; Burkholderiales; Oxalobacteraceae
Description: bacterial SSU rRNA
Rfam family: Bacterial small subunit ribosomal RNA
Source: RNAcentral
UGGGGGGCCUUCGGGAGGCAGCAGUGGGGAAUUUUGGACAAUGGGCGCAAGCCUGAUCCAGCAAUGCCGCGUGAGUGAAGAAGGCCUUCGGGUUGUAAAGCUCUUUUGUCAGGGAAGAAACGGCUCAGGCUAAUAUCCUGGGCUAAUGACGGUACCUGAAGAAUAAGCACCGGCUAACUACGUGCCAGCAGCCGCGGUAAUACGUAGGGUGCAAGCGUUAAUCGGAAUUACUGGGCGUAAAGCGUGCGCAGGCGGUUUUGUAAGUCUGACGUGAAAGCCCCGGGCUCAACCUGGGAAUUGCGUUGGAGACUGCAAGGCUUGAAUCUGGCAGAGGGGGGUAGAAUUCCACGUGUAGCAGUGAAAUGCGUAGAGAUGUGGAGGAACACCGAUGGCGAAGGCAGCCCCCUGGGUCAAGAUUGACGCUCAUGCACGAAAGCGUGGGGAGCAAACAGGAUUAGAUACCCUGGUAGUCCACGCCCUAAACGAUGUCUACUAGUUGUCGGGUUUUAAUUAACUUGGUAACGCAGCUAACGCGUGAAGUAGACCGCCUGGGAGACU